This 772-nucleotide ribosomal RNA is filed under the name uncultured Neocallimastigales. Its description in RNAcentral is "partial large subunit ribosomal RNA". It matches the Rfam family "Eukaryotic large subunit ribosomal RNA", at positions 24 to 616 of the family's 3401-position model. Lineage: Eukaryota; Fungi; Neocallimastigomycota; Neocallimastigomycetes; Neocallimastigales. The record is from RNAcentral.
UACGACUACAUAUCAGGCAUAUCAAUAAGCGGAGGAAAAGAAACUAACAAGGAUUCCCUUAGUAACGGCGAGUGAAGCGGGAAGAGCUCAAAUUUGAAAUCUUCAAGGUUCUACCUUGACGAAUUGUAGUUUAAAGAAGUGUUUUCUGUUGGAGUUUUGGUAAAAGUUCUUUGGAAUAGGACAUCAUAGAGGGUGAGAAUCCCGUAUUUGACCAUUAUUUUCAGCUUUGUGAUACACUUUCAAAGAGUCGGAUUGUUUGGGAAUGCAGUCCAAAAUGGGUGGUAAAUUUCAUCUAAAGCUAAAUAUUGGCGAGAGACCGAUAGCGAACAAGUACCGUGAGGGAAAGAUGAAAAGAACUUUGAAAAGAGAGUUAAACAGUACGUGAAAUUGUCAAAAGGGAGCGUUUGACACCAGUGUUGUUUUCUCGAAAAUCAAUUAAAAAGAGUUGGAUUUUGUGUUGUAUUGACCUUAACAGCUUGCUUCACUCUUUUCCAGCUUUUUUUAAUGCACUUUUCGUUUAACAAGUCAACAUCAGUUUCUUUGUUGUAAAAGGGUCAUUGGAAGGUGGCUUUCUCUUCGGAGAAAGUGUUUAUAGCCUUUGAUCUCUGCAAUCGGAGAGACUGAGGUCUGCAGCGUAGAUCCUUCGGGGUUAGAUACAUUUGUGCUAAGCUACAGCUUUUCAUAGACAACUUGUUGACUAUGUUUAGUCUUGUAACUUACCCGCUUAUGCUAUUUUACCUACGCUUAGGAUGUUGAGCGCAUGUCUCUCUCU